UACGUAGGGGGCAAGCGUUGUCCGGAUUUAUUGGGCGUAAAGAGCGUGUAGGCGGCUAGGUAGGUCCGUUGUGAAAACUCGAGGCUCAACCUCGAGACGUCGAUGGAAACCAUCUAGCUAGAGUCCGGAAGAGGAGAGUGGAAUUCCUGGUGUAGCGGUGAAAUGCGCAGAUAUCAGGAAGAACACCCGUGGCGAAGGCGGCUCUCUGGUACGUGACUGACGCUGAGACGCGAAGGCGUGGGGAGCGAACAGG
This 253-nucleotide ribosomal RNA is filed under the name uncultured bacterium. RNAcentral's name for it is "partial 16S ribosomal RNA". It matches the Rfam family "Bacterial small subunit ribosomal RNA", at positions 524 to 776 of the family's 1533-position model. The record is from RNAcentral.